Dermacentor andersoni is the source of this 4818-nucleotide non-coding RNA. Lineage: Eukaryota; Metazoa; Arthropoda; Arachnida; Ixodida; Ixodidae. The record is from RefSeq and is a predicted model, not a curated record.
GCAGAAGAUUGCUGCUGCUGCUGCUGCUGCUGCUGCUGCUGCUGCUGCUUGUCUGACUGACCUGAGGCACCUGACGCUGCGCGUCUUAUUCUUUCAUUAGUUGGGCCAUGUUUCUUCUUCAGUUCAGCUUGCGCUCAAAGAAAGUGAAAUAGGUGUUGUCCAAAGCAUAGGGUAUGACAUGCCACCACUUGUUUCUGACACCUACUCGUUGCAUAUCAUUGCCUUGGUAUGUGGUGUUCAAUGACUCUUUAAAUUUGCUCUUGAAAAUUUAUCUGCAAGAUAAACCAGAUCAUUCAUUUACUCCAUGCAAUACAUGGGGCAGAGACAACGAGCUGCACGUGGUAGGCAGCAAUGGCAGAAUAAUGCCAGCACAGAGGCUAUACAAAGCUUGCGCAUACAGAGCUUCACUGUAGUAGUAUUGAAAUGUUGCAUGGCACUUGCUGACUUACUAUUAAGCAAUACCAGCAUUAGGGGACACGAGACGAAGGCAACACAGCGUGGCUCAUGUCCUGUGGCUUGUGUCUCUUGUCCGAUCCUGUAGUGCUGGUGUCACAUAAUGAAAAAACAAGCUCAUUGCACUGUGUUAGCAAAGGUAACACCUCCUGGUCUUUUUAAACUGCCAAAACCAAGUGACAACUUGAGCAAGGGUACCCAAGUUAAUUUUUGCCUUCUUUUGAUGCUACAUGCAAUUAGCUUCCUUUAUUUCAAGGAAGCUCUUGCUUUGAGGAUGCAGUUUGGACACCGCCUAUUGGCCUUAGUUCAUUUCAAUAAGGUAUGCAGCGCUGUAGUUCAGAGUGUCGAGACUGAGUUGCUUGUUUAUUUUACAGCAUGAUAUCUGCUGCAGCUUCUACUGCAUAGAUGCUUAUUUGGAUAUUGAAUUUGUAUUUAAUUAGCUACUCAUGCACUUAUAUUUAGGUACAUGAUGCUGUAGAUUCUUUUUGAUAGUUGCCCCUUGCUUUCGUGCUGAAAGUAAAAUUGGUUUCAGUGCUGUAUUGCCAAGUGUUAAGACGGAGUUGUUUGUUUCUUUGUAACAUGAUACUUGCAGAAGCUGCAACUGUGUAGAUUUGUGUAAGAGGCAAGAGUAAUUUACGUAGCAGUCAUUUCUUUAUUUACUAGCUUGUGCUCUUACUUAAUUUGCUGAGCUGCCGUUAGUUUAUCACUGUGUACGCUUUUAGAUUCUGGGCACUCUGCAUCUAUAGUUAAGCAUGACACCCCUUAUAAGAACUGCGAAAUCUCUUGCCAAAAAUGAAAAAUGUAAUAUCAGGACAUGCGUGCAGGUCUUCAAGUUGGUCUUGCAUGGUUGGGGGUGAAUGCUAGCAUAAAAUUCUGGGCAAAUCCAGAAACAAAUCAACAUUCAAACUCGGAGCACGAGAUUGAGAAUGUAGAGAGCAGCAAUCAAGACACACAUAUCUUUUGUUCAGCUUUGUUCACGAAGGAUAUAUCCAGUUUGUGGUGUACGGUAAACUAAAGUCAUGGUAGAUGCUACUUAAUAGACCAGUGUUUUAGCCGCUAACUGUUAAAAGGAGAUGGCAUUCAAUAACGUAAGCACUGCUUAUUGUGUUGCAAGGGAUCUGGUUUUCUUGUACAUUAUAAGUGAACCUCUUCUACUAGUCUAUGUCAACAAAACAUGUUAACUUGCUCAAGGUCAACUAACGAAGCAACCAUUCCCGUCCAUGGAGAAAGUGCGUUCUUCUGUGUCGGCAAACGAAAUUUGCCAUGAUCGUAAAGUUACAUUUGAUAACACUCUUUACACCCCACAGCUGUGAUUCAGUGGAAUUGGUAUUGUGCUUCUGAGGGCAAGGUUGGUUUGAUUUUCGACCACAGUGGCUGCAUUCUGAUGAAGGCAAAAUAUGAAAAUGCUUGCGUGCCAAGCUUUGGGUGCACCUCAGGCGGUGGCCACAUCGUUCCAGAAACAUUGACUGUUGGGCCAGUUAGUGCAUUAUGUCGUGUCAUUGAGUGGAAUAAUGACAGGAGGAAAUGAUACAGACAGGACCCUCCACUAUGAUGUCUGUUGCUCAUAGCCCUCUGUGUUACGUUUGGAUCUUAAACAUAAUCAGUCAAUCGUUACAGACAGAUUUAGUAUAUCACUUGCCAUUAGUAUUGCUACCUUGGCCUUUGUGCUUACUACUAGCUAAUCUGUGCUGCGUAUGCUUUUGCAUCUGGCAGCAGUAACACGGAGUGAGGAUUAGCCAGCAUGUGUGAAACUGUCAGGCUGAGGCUGUAGCAGUGCACUACAACUACCUGGUGUGCAGCAUCGAUUGAUUUCUGGCCAGAGAUGCAAAGCAUUUCUGACAUAAAGGUAUCUUGUUCACAAUGCUAAAGCAAGCACAGCAGAAAAUUGCAAAAGCUAUUGUGUAACACAAAUGAAGUGGAGAGGCUUUAGGAACAUCAGAAGUCAAGAGCAGUAAACCGUAAAUGUGGACGCAGUAGUGCCUUCUUAAGUUUGUCAAUAAAGAAUUGCUAGGGUCGGUUUUUUCCCACCAGGCACGUCAGCUGUUUAUUGAGCAGCUGAUUCGGUCACUUGUCAGCACGUGUAUGAAAAUAUAUAUAUGGGUGUUUGCAGUGUGUUUGUAGUCAACUAUUGCACCAACAUGAAUGUUACCUUCUAUGUCUACGUUGUGGCAUGCACAUUGCACAGAAGUGUUUUUUGAAUGUGUGUUGUCGAGUUUAACAUACCCUGAUACAUCCUUUUAUUCUUUUUGCUGUUCUUGGAGUUGGGCUCUGGAAAUCGUGCUAAGUAAAGGGACUGCGAAACAGAGAGGUGUUCUUCUUUCUUUGUUUUUGCGUGAAACCUGUUUUCACGCCGGAAAUAUAGUAUUUAUCUUAAAUCGUCACCAAGUCAUUUAUGUUGGGAACAUCUCACAGGCCAUAGCAAUAAAGCAUUUUGCCAAAAAAACAUUGCAAUAAACUUUGUACUUUGGCAACUUACCUUGUUUAAGACAAAUUUAAUUCCUCUCAGGAAAAAGCAGUCACAUGUACCAAUAAGGGCUACCCAUGAAGGUUAAGAAAUAUAUAAUAUAUAUAAUAUACAUGCUGCAUAAGUAAAGUUUUGUUGGUGAGAAGAAAACAGUUGUACCUUCAUAUAAUGAGGGUGGAUAUAAAGUAUUCUUGGAGGUAACAAAGCAAACUAAAAUUUUUUUCACCAGUAUCGGCAUGUAAUGAACUUAUGCUUCUCAAAAUAUUGAAUAUAGCCAAAAUAUUCUUGUCGGAUGCGGCUUCAUUAUAUAAUGAGCUUUUACUACCUAGCCUUAUGUUCUGAGCAAGGAUGAAUCCAAACUAAUGUGAAAUGUGCGUCUGCUAAGGCUCUUUUAGGGCUUUCGAACUGUUCAGUGUGAGACGGUAAGACCCAGAAAUUGCCGUGAAAGGUCACAAAGGUUUAUGCAUGUGUGUUAUCUGUGCAGUGUACUGCAGUGCUUACUCACAGAACGUGAAAUUGCUGUUAGGGACAAAAGCUGAAUAGCUUCCUGUGCUUGCUUCCACAUAAAUUAGGAUUUUAGUUGAUCUAGGAGCACGAGGACAUCUUAUCACAGAUGUGGACCUAACACAAUGCUGUGUGAUGUUACUUUGUAUGUUUUUGAUGUACUAUAGAAAUCCAGUGUUUGGUUAACAUAGCUUAAAGUGUUACUGUAUGAAUGAAAGGACGAUGCCUAUUUGUUCUUUCAAUUUAUUGUUGAACACUGCAUAGUUUACAGUGCUACUGUCUGAAAACAAGGACAGGGCACUGUCCUUGCACUACAGUUUGCUUUUCUAUACAUUCAUCCUAAAAAGCUAGAAGACGUGCACAACUCGUGAUCCUUCCUAUUGGCUAUGAAGCACAAGUUUCAGCACAAUCAGACAGGGAAAACAGACUAGGAAUUGGGAUCUUGUACUUAUUUUUGAAAACUAGAACUCGUAACUGGGUUGAUUGGUACACAGUUAAACCUCAAUACAUCAGUGUUGGUAAAAUCAGAACUUUACUUCUUUAUAUUGAAAUUUUGUUAUAUUGAAAGGCCCCCCUCCCCUUAGCAUGUGCUUUAUCAUGUUACCACACAUUCACUCCCUUCCCCCUUGCGGUCAUCAAGCCACGAACCGUCUCUGCUCACCUUCUCACGCUUUCCCUCGCACCCAUAGUGUACGACACAAAGGGUGUGAUGGGAUCUUAUUGCCCUUGGACUUUAUACAAAACAUGACGGUGAGAGGGUCUUGUGUUUAGCACUAAAACUGCUACUCAUGUUUGUCAUUUAUGUCCACACUGUUAGAUAUGGGACCUUUUCCUGAGCCUCCUUCGAGUUCACCAGGCCACAUCGAAUCGUGCCACAGCUAAUUAAGGAGCGCAGAAGCACAUCUACCCCGUUCCCGAGGCGCGGCACGUGCAAACGAGUUGGAGUCCCCCACCUCGUGCGCCGCAGGUGGAGCUAUUCACUGCUUGACUCUUCCCAAAAGUGUAGCAGGAGUCUGGCACGGUUCCAGAGACAAGUAAGCCCUCGGACAAUUGGGGCCCAAGGAGCGACCCUCGGCGCCGGGUGGGACACAAUCGCACGGGCGCCUACCAUUGGCCGAAAAUGACGACACCUGAGCAGGCUCGCCGAUUGGCCGAAAAUGGCGUCACCUGAGCGGGCUCGCCGAUUGGCCGAACGUGACGUGACUUCGAGACACCGAAGGGCUUAAAAGCCCGAGACCGGGAGCAGCAAGGGAGCAUUCCUUCAUUCAUCUCUUUCAAGCUUCUUGCCACGGGCUGCAGCGUCCGAGUUGCUGCCAACCCGUAAUGACUUUAUGACUGUUAAUUUCUUUGUACUCUCACUGUAAAUAAUGUAAAUAAACCUCCAGUUUUCAUCUCAA